UACGUAGGGCGCGAGCGUUAUCCGGAAUUAUUGGGCGUAAAGAGCUCGUAGGCGGUUUGUCACGUCUGCCGUGAAAGUCCGGGGCUUAACCCCGGAUCUGCGGUGGGUACGGGCAGACUAGAGUGCAGUAGGGGAGACUGGAAUUCCUGGUGUAGCGGUGAAAUGCGCAGAUAUCAGGAGGAACACCGAUGGCGAAGGCAGGUCUCUGGGCUGUUACUGACGCUGAGGAGCGAAAGCUGGGGAGCACAGGAUUAGAUACCCGCGUAGUCC
RNAcentral lists this ribosomal RNA (270 nucleotides) under uncultured bacterium. RNAcentral's name for it is "partial 16S ribosomal RNA". It matches the Rfam family "Bacterial small subunit ribosomal RNA", at positions 524 to 796 of the family's 1533-position model. The record is from RNAcentral.